This 496-nucleotide ribosomal RNA is filed under the name uncultured bacterium. Its description in RNAcentral is "partial 16S ribosomal RNA". It matches the Rfam family "Bacterial small subunit ribosomal RNA", at positions 28 to 506 of the family's 1533-position model. The record is from RNAcentral.
GAUGAACGCUGGCGGCGUGCCUAAUACAUGCAAGUCGAGCGAACGGACGAGAAGCUUGCUUUUCUGAUGUUAGCGGCGGACGGGUGAGUAACACGUGGAUAACCUACCUAUAAGACUGGGAUAACUUCGGGAAACCGGAGCUAAUACCGGAUAAUAUUUUGAACCGCAUGGUUCAAAAGUGAAAGACGGUCUUGCUGUCACUUAUAGAUGGAUCCGCGCUGCAUUAGCUAGUUGGUAAGGUAACGGCUUACCAAGGCAACGAUGCAUAGCCGACCUGAGAGGGUGAUCGGCCACACUGGAACUGAGACACGGUCCAGACUCCUACGGGAGGCAGCAGUAGGGAAUCUUCCGCAAUGGGCGAAAGCCUGACGGAGCAACGCCGCGUGAGUGAUGAAGGUCUUCGGAUCGUAAAACUCUGCUAUUAGGGAAGAACAUAUGUGUAAGUAACUGUGCACAUCUUGACGGUACCUAAUCAGAAAGCCACGGCUAACUACGU